Molecule: ribosomal RNA, 464 nt
Filed under: uncultured bacterium
Lineage: Bacteria
Description: partial 16S ribosomal RNA
Rfam family: Bacterial small subunit ribosomal RNA
Source: RNAcentral
ACGCACGCUGGCGGCGUGCUUAACACCUGCCAGUCGCACGGAAAGGCCCUGCUUGCAGGGUACUCGAGUGGCGAACGGGUGAGUAACACGUGGGUGAUCUGCCCUGCACUUCGGGAUAAGCCUGGGAAACUGGGUCUAAUACCGGAUAGGAGCCAUUUUUAGUGUGAUGGUUGGAAAGUUUUUUCGGUGUAGGAUGAGCUCGCGGCCUAUCAGCUUGUUGGUGGGGUAAUGGCCUACCAAGGCGGCGACGGGUAGCCGGCCUGAGAGGGUGGACGGCCACAUUGGGACUGAGAGACGGCCCAGACUCCUACGGGAGGCAGCAGUGGGGAAUAUUGCACAAUGGGCGCAAGCCUGAUGCAGCGACGCCGCGUGGGGGAUGACGGCCUUCGGGUUGUAAACUCCUUUCGCUAGGGACGAAGCUUUUUGUGACGGUACCUAGAGAAGAAGCACCGGCUAACUACGUG